CCUACGGGAGGCAGCAGUGGGGAAUAUUGCGCAAUGGGCGAAAGCCUGACGCAGCGACGCCGCGUGAGGGAUGAAGGUCUUCGGAUCGUAAACCUCUGUCAGCAGGGAAGAACAGUCACUGUGCUAAUCAGCAGUGAAUUGACGGUACCUGACAAGGAAGCACCGGCUAACUCCGUGCCAGCAGCCGCGGUAAUACGGCGGGUGCGAGCGUUCAUCGGAAUUACUGGGCGUAAAGCGCUCGUAGGCGGUAUGUCAAGUCAAGGGUGAAAUCCCCGCGCUCAACGUGGGAACUGCCUUUGAAACUGGGAAACUUGAGUGUGUGAGAGGAUAGUGGAAUUCCAGGUGUAGGAGUGAAAUCCGUAGAUAUCUGGAGGAACAUCAGUGGCGAAGGCGACUAUCUGGCACAUAACUGACGCUGAGGAGCGAAAGCGUGGGUAGUAAACAGGAUUAGAUACCCGAGUAGUC
Molecule: ribosomal RNA, 465 nt
Filed under: uncultured bacterium
Lineage: Bacteria
Description: partial 16S ribosomal RNA
Rfam family: Bacterial small subunit ribosomal RNA
Source: RNAcentral